GACGAACGCUGGCGGCGUGCUUAACACAUGCAAGUCGAACGGAAAGGCCCUGCUUUUGUGGGGUGCUCGAGUGGCGAACGGGCGAGUAACACGUGAGUAACCUGCCCUUGACUUUGGGAUAACUUCAGGAAACUGGGGCUAAUACCGGAUAGGAGCUCCUGCUGCAUGGUGGGGGUUGGAAAGUUUCGGCGGUUGGGGAUGGACUCGCGGCUUAUCAGCUUGUUGGUGGGGUAGUGGCUUACCAAGGCUUUGACGGGUAGCCGGCCUGAGAGGGUGACCGGCCACAUUGGGACUGAGAUACGGCCCAGACUCCUACGGGAGGCAGCAGUGGGGAAUAUUGCACAAUGGGCGGAAGCCUGAUGCAGCAACGCCGCGUGCGGGAUGACGGCCUUCGGGUUGUAAACCGCUUUCGCCUGUGGCGAAGCGUGAGUGACGGUAAUGGGUAAAGAAGCACCGGCUAACUACGUG
This 468-nucleotide ribosomal RNA is filed under the name uncultured bacterium. RNAcentral describes it as "partial 16S ribosomal RNA". It matches the Rfam family "Bacterial small subunit ribosomal RNA", at positions 28 to 507 of the family's 1533-position model. The record is from RNAcentral.